This 503-nucleotide ribosomal RNA is filed under the name uncultured bacterium. RNAcentral's name for it is "partial 16S ribosomal RNA". It matches the Rfam family "Bacterial small subunit ribosomal RNA", at positions 30 to 523 of the family's 1533-position model. The record is from RNAcentral.
AUUGAACGCUGGCGGCAGGCUUAACACAUGCAAGUCGAGCGGAGUGAUGGUGCUUGCACUAUCACUUAGCGGCGGACGGGUGAGUAAUGCUUAGGAAUCUGCCUAUUAGUGGGGGACAACAUCUCGAAAGGGAUGCUAAUACCGCAUACGUCCUACGGGAGAAAGCAGGGGAUCACUUGUGACCUUGCGCUAAUAGAUGAGCCUAAGUCGGAUUAGCUAGUUGGUGGGGUAAAGGCCUACCAAGGCGACGAUCUGUAGCGGGUCUGAGAGGAUGAUCCGCCACACUGGGACUGAGACACGGCCCAGACUCCUACGGGAGGCAGCAGUGGGGAAUAUUGGACAAGGGGGGGAACCCUGAUCCGGCCAUGCCGCGUGUGUGAAGAAGGCCUUAUGGUUGUAAAGCACUUUAAGCGAGGAGGAGGCUCUUUUGGUUAAUACCCAAGAUGAGUGGACGUUACUCGCAGAAUAAGCACCGGCUAACUCUGUGCCAGCCGCCGCAGUAA